Molecule: ribosomal RNA, 253 nt
Filed under: uncultured bacterium
Lineage: Bacteria
Description: partial 16S ribosomal RNA
Rfam family: Bacterial small subunit ribosomal RNA
Source: RNAcentral
GACCGAGGGUGCGAACGUUGUUCGGAAUUACUGGGCGUAAAGCGCAUGUAGGCGGCAGCGCAAGUCGGGCGUGAAAUCCCCCGGCUCAACCGUGGAAGUGCACUCGAAACUGCGCAGCUAGAGUCCUGGAGAGGAAGGUGGAAUGCUUGGUGUAGAGGUGAAAUUCGUAGAUAUCAAGCGGAACACCGGUGGCGAAGGCGGCCUUCUGGACAGUGACUGACGCUGAGAUGCGAAAGCGUGGGGAGCAAACAGG